This 432-nucleotide unclassified non-coding RNA is filed under the name Hevea brasiliensis (rubber tree). Lineage: Eukaryota; Viridiplantae; Streptophyta; Magnoliopsida; Malpighiales; Euphorbiaceae. The record is from RNAcentral.
GCCAGGCUUAACUUGUAACGCUUGUGACAAGGAAUUUGUUGAUGAUACUGAGCAAAAGCUUCAUUACAAAUCUGAAUGGCACCGAUACAAUCUUAAACGCAAGGUUGCAGGAGUUCCUGGAGUGAGAGAGACUAUUUUUCUAGCCAGACAGGCUGCACUUGCAGAAGAGAAGGAAAAGUUGAGUGAAACUCCAUUGCUAUAUGCCUGUGGUCUGUGUGACAAAGAGUAUAGAAGCUCCAAGGCUCAUGCUCAGCAUCUGAAAUCUAAAAGUCACUUAGCACGGGCUUCUCAACAACCAGGUCAUCCUAAUGAGAAUAGUGUUACAAUCAAGCCGCUUCUACGCCACCCUCGAAAUGAAACCUCACGCAAGGCCAAAGAGGAUGUUAUUGAGGAGAAUGAUGAAAGUGAUGAAAGUGAAUGGGAGGAGGUUGA